This 74-nucleotide transfer RNA is filed under the name Pteropus alecto (black flying fox). It matches the Rfam family "tRNA". Rfam says of the family: Transfer RNA (tRNA) molecules are approximately 80 nucleotides in length. Their secondary structure includes four short double-helical elements and three loops (D, anti-codon, and T loops). Lineage: Eukaryota; Metazoa; Chordata; Mammalia; Chiroptera; Pteropodidae. The record is from Rfam by way of RNAcentral.
AGCUCCAUAGUGUAGUGGUUAGCAUGUCUGCUUUACAUGCAGAAGGUCUGGGGUUCAAGCCCCAGGUGGAGCCA